CCUACGGGUGGCUGCAGUGGGGAAUAUUGGACAAUGGGGGCAACCCUGAUCCAGCCAUGCCGCGUGUGUGAAGAAGGCCCUCGGGUUGUAAAGCACUUUCAGUGAGGAAGAACGCCUGGUGGUUAAUACCCAUCAGGAAAGACAUCACUCACAGAAGAAGCACCGGCUAACUCCGUGCCAGCAGCCGCGGUAAUACGGAGGGUGCGAGCGUUAAUCGGAAUUACUGGGCGUAAAGCGCGCGUAGGUGGCUUGAUAAGCCGGUUGUGAAAGCCCCGGGCUCAACCUGGGAACGGCAUCCGGAACUGUCAAGCUAGAGUGCAGGAGAGGAAGGUAGAAUUCCCGGUGUAGCGGUGAAAUGCGUAGAGAUCGGGAGGAAUACCAGUGGCGAAGGCGGCCUUCUGGACUGACACUGCCACUGAGGUGCGAAAGCGUGGGUAGCAAACAGGAUUAGAUACCCUGGUAGUC
This 465-nucleotide ribosomal RNA is filed under the name Vreelandella stevensii. RNAcentral's name for it is "partial 16S ribosomal RNA". It matches the Rfam family "Bacterial small subunit ribosomal RNA", at positions 338 to 795 of the family's 1533-position model. Lineage: Bacteria; Pseudomonadati; Pseudomonadota; Gammaproteobacteria; Oceanospirillales; Halomonadaceae. The record is from RNAcentral.